RNAcentral lists this ribosomal RNA (962 nucleotides) under Lamprochernes savignyi. RNAcentral's name for it is "SSU rRNA". It matches the Rfam family "Eukaryotic small subunit ribosomal RNA", at positions 744 to 1728 of the family's 1831-position model. The record is from RNAcentral. Lineage: Eukaryota; Metazoa; Arthropoda; Arachnida; Pseudoscorpiones; Chernetidae.
GGACAAUUUUACCUUGAAAAAAUUAGGGUGCUCAAGGCAGGCCGGGACCUGAAUAAUGAUGCAUGGAAUAAUGGAAUAGGACCUCGGUUCUAUUUUGUUGGUUUUCGGAUCCCGGGGUAAUGAUUGAGAGGGACAGACGGGGGCAUUCGUACUGCUACGCUAGAGGUGAAAUUCUUGGACCGUAGCAAGACGAACUACUGCGAAAGCAUUUGCCAAGAAUGUUUUCAUUAAUCAAGAACGAAAGUUAGAGGUUCGAAGGCGAUCAGAUACCGCCCUAGUUCUAACCAUAAACGAUGCCAACCAGCGAUCCGCCAGAGUUCCUUAAACGACUCGGCGGGCAGCUUCCGGGAAACCAAAGUGUGUGGGUUCCGGGGGAAGUAUGGUUGCAAAGCUGAAACUUAAAGGAAUUGACGGAAGGGCACCACCAGGAGUGGAGCCUGCGGCUUAAUUUGACUCAACACGGGGAAACUCACCCGGCCCGGACACCGGAAGGAUUGACGGAUUGAUAGCUCUUUCUCGAUUCGGUGGGUGGUGGUGCAUGGCCGUUCUUAGUUGGUGGAGUGAUUUGUCUGGUUAAUUCCGAUAACGAACGAGACUCUAGCCUACUAAAUAGACCGGCGGUCCUUGGUACCGCGGUAUGGUCUUCUUAGAGGGACAGGCGGCAUUUAGCCGCACGAGACAGAGCAAUAACAGGUCUGUGAUGCCCUUAGAUGUCCGGGGCCGCACGCGCGCUACACUGAAGGAAUCAGCAGGUGACUUUCCUUGUCCGACAGGACCGGGUAACCCUCUGAAACUCCUUCGUGAUUGGGAUAGGGGAUUGUAAUUGUUCCCCUCGAACGAGGAAUUCCCAGUAGGUGCGGGUCAUGAGCUCGCGCCGAUUACGUCCCUGCCCUUUGUACACACCGCCCGUCGCUAUUACCGAUUGAAUGAUUUAGUGAGGUCUUCGGACUGGUCCAGCGAGC